CAUGAUUAAGUUUAUCUUCCCGUGCUCCACAUCCUCACUUCUUCUUAGGCCCUGCAAAUCAGAACAUAUGUGAAUACCACAUCCUGUAUCAAGCACCCAAGAGUUAGAAUAUGUUGAGUAAUUAGACAAUAUAGUGUAAAUACCUGCAUAGGUGGGUUUCACUUUCCCAUCCUUUAGAUCCUGCAAGUACUUAGGGCAGUUUCGCUUCCAGUGUGCCUUUUCAUGGCAAUAAAAGCAUUCAGCAUCCUUUGGAAUGGCAGAAGGAGUGACAGAACCGUUCUUAGUCUUGGAUGAGGAGCCUUCAAGAGACUUUCCCUUGGUACCCUUCGAAGGGUGCUUCCUCUUUUUCCCUUUGCCUUGCCCAAUAGCUAAAACAGGGGUAGAAGUUGGAGUAGGAGUAGUAGAGGUAACAACCGCUUUACCCUUAAGACCGGUUUCAGCGGUCUUCAAGAGUCCUUGAAGCUUGCUGAGGGUAACUUCCUCCUUGUUCAUAUGAUAUGUCAUUCGAAAAUGAUCAUAACAAGAAGGCAAGGAGUGCAAAAUGAUGUCAAUUGCUAACUCCUCGGGGAUGUUAACAUUCAGCUUCAGCAAACGGUCCACAUACCUUUGCAUCUUUUGCAUGUGGCCCGUGACGGAUUCACCGUCCUUCAUGCGGGUAGUUAUUAUGGAGGAGAUUAUUUCAUACCGCUCCUGACGAGCACUCUGAUGGUACCUUUCCAUCAAGUCUUGGUGCAUCUCAAAAGGGUAGAAAUCUUCAUAUGACUUUUGGAGCUCGGCUGUCAUCGUGGCCAUCAUGAUACAUGCCACCUUAGUAGCAUCUCUCUCAUGAGUCCUGAAUUCAGCGAUCUCCUCAGGAGUAGCAGUAGACUCAUCAAGUUCUUUUAACUCCUUAUCGAGGACAUAUUCCUUGUCCUCGUAACGAGUAACCAUCCUGAUGUUCCUAAUCCAAUCCAUGAAGUUGGAACCAUCAAAGAUGACCCUCCCACAAAGAUUCAUGAGAGAGAAAGAACCAGUUGGGUUAGAGCCUGAAGCAUUAGUGUUGGAAGACAUCUGAAAGAAGAAAGUAAGUUUAGAUUAGAUAUUUAGGAUCCUUAAUAAGACACCCAAAUGUAAUAUUAAGGCUAGGAUCCAAUCACAAUAUAUUACACUUAGAAGAGGGAUGCCGUAAUCUAAGUAAUAAUAUAUUUGAAAGGUAGGCGAAUGACGAUUCACCAAUUUCCACCAUGAAAACGAAAUGAUUAAUUAGGUUUAAUUGGAUUUGAAAUUCCUAGAUUCUUUUGAGAUUCAUUGAACUUUUCAAUGGCAUGUUUCAAUCUCGAUUGUGCCCUUCAAGUUUUGUGACUGGGAUGCCGAGGAUCACAAAACAAGGUGUGAAUAACCAUGCUAACUCACUUGGUACUCCUAAUAUUAUCACCUAAUCAAUGUGCCGGUUAACCACACACGCUCCAUUGAUCUAUGACAACAUUAAGUUACCCUUCGUGAUCCUUACUAGUCUAAUUAGUGUGCCGGUUAACCACACACGCUCCACUAACGACUUGGUAAGGUACAAAGUGUGAAUUCCAUGGAUUAGCACCAUGUUCACAUUUUCCUAAAAUAACUAAGAUUGGGAAUUAAAAGAGUUUAGUUAUUUUAUAAUAUUCAUUAUACUUUUAAUGAGGAUUUAAAGUCGUUGUUCUACCCGUUCGGCUAACGACCCUCCACCGAUCAAGCAAGCGGUGGGUGAGAGUAUACACCCAUUAAGUCGCCAUUUUAUAGGCAACAACCUUAUACCCACCUUAUAGACCGGCUUCGUGAAUGAGGCCUACUAACGGUAAAACGACUUAUUCUUAUACAUAUAUAUAAUAAUUAACCAUUAAUGUUAUAAAUAGUAUAAGGGUUGAAUUUUAACUAUUAAAACUCUAAGGUUUGGAAUUAAAGUUUAUUAAAGUGUGUGAAACUUUACAAAUUCCAAAACUUGAGGACAAGUUUUGUAACUUUGCAAAACUCUUCAUUUCAUAACUUAUGAAUUAAAGGUUCAUAAAAAUGAAGACUCUUCAUUUUCAUGUAACUUAUGUGUUUUAAGUGUGUGUUAAAUGAAAGUGACCUUUGGUAAUCCAUAACUUGAGGACAAAUUAUGGACUCCAUUAAAACACAUAAAUGAUUAAGAAUUAAUUCUAAACAAUUCAGCAAAUAAUUCCUAUCAUUUUCUAAAUUCAUAAGAACAUGAACAUGAUCAUCAAAAAUUCAAGAAUUAUAUGAACACAUAAAAUCAUGGAUUUUUGAUAUAUGCUAUUGUAAAUGGAUUAGAACAACCAUUACACCAACUAAAAUAAGUUUUACAACACCAAAACAAUUUAGGGUAAUGUUUCCAGUCCAUUUCCAGCAGCAAAAGUCGAGAUUCUGCAUUCUUUCGAUCCUACUCGCCGAGUGCACGAACGGACUCGUCGAGUAGGUUGAAGUUUGCCUUGGACUCGGCGAGUCCCCCCAAUGGACUCGGCGAGUCUAGCAUGCAGACAGCAACGAUUUCGACUUUUUUCACUAUUUUGCAUCAAGUAUCAAACAAGCAAGCCUAGGCUCUGAUACCACUGUUGGGUUUUGAGCAAUCUAACACUUCCUAAGUGUGCAUGCAACCCUAAUAAACCUUGGAUCUAUGUUUGUCUAAAUACAUGCAAAAUAAUAAUUUUCCAAGGUUUAUAACCUAUCUAACAUGGCAUGGGGAACAUUUCAACAUAAAAGAGUUAGAAGAGAUUACAUACCUUUGUUGUGUUGGGUUCUUAGGAGUUUGAGGGCCAAGCACCAAUAGUGUGAAUGCCUCAAAUGGAAUCACAAACACCACAAACUCUUGGAAAACUUUGAGAGAGUAUACACACUCUUGUAUUUUCGGCCACACACAUGCACACACACACUAGAACACUAGCUUUCUCUUAGGCUAUCUUAGGCUCUCUUUCAUGCUCCAUAAGCAUGCUUAUAUAGUAUGCAUGGUUAGGGUGAAACCCUAAUAACCCACGUCUUUUCCUAUUCCAAGGAUCCAUGGGUUAAAAGCUCCAUGGAUCAUCCAUGGCCUUCCACAUAAGCCUAGCCCAUUAACAAAUGAGUAUUAGCCCACACUAUAUAAAACAAAUAGCCCAUAAUUUAAUUAGUAUUCCUUUUAAUCUCUAAAUUAAUCCAUAAUUAAUUUAAGACUAAAACUAAUUAAAUAACGUAACUUCAUAUUAAUAUAUUAUAACUCAUAAUAUAUUAAUAAACAUAUGUGUAUAACUCUCAUAAAAUUAUCCAUAAUAGUUUGGAUGAGAUGCAACCCAAAUGGACCAUGCCGGUCGGGUCAAGUAUAUACCAAAUAAGUUAUGGACUUAGACACCUUAUCCAACAAUACAUCCAGGUAGUCUCGCACUACCGGAACAUCAUUAACCGCCGUCUUGCCCUUCUCCCGGGCAUCUACGACAUAUGCAAUAUAACCGGCGCAACCCUGCUGGAAAUAGCGCCUCGCUCUCGCUGCUGAACACAGAACUGGUCCGUGAUGUGGCCUCUCGCCCUGAAUCACUAACUCUCCCCCACUGGGGGUGCGAACCCUCAUUAACUGCAGCUCACAAUCUAUCACCGCCCCAUUGGGGCUCAGCCAAUCCAUGCCUACUAUGACUUUAUUCCCUCGCAUGGGAAUAGGGACCAAGUCCAUUGAAAACUGCUUAUCAAAUAACUGUAGAGAACAUCCUCUGUGUACUCUCGCGACCCUGACGGUCCUGUCAUCUGCUAUCUCAACCUUAAGUGGAAAAUACAGCUCCCCCGGAGCUCUACUAAACCUCUUGCUAAGCGCAAGUGAAACAAACGAUCGGGUAGCCCCCGAAUCGAACAAUACUAUAGCUGGAAUGUCGUUCACUGAGAACGACCCUAUACAAAACAUAUAGCCAUAAGUAACAAUCAAUAAUAAAAGCAGAGAUAAGGGAAAAAUACAUACAUGUAACCACAUCAGGAGUUGCUCGCGCCUCCUCUGCGGUCAACUGAAAAGCCCAUUCUCUUCGCCACCAGCGUCUCACCCCGGCCCUAACGGUCGUCUGUAAUCCUCAAAGUAGCAAGAGCAGGUGCUGACACCUUUCCUGCAACAGCUAAACUCGGACACUGGGACUUUUUUAUGUCCCCUCUGAUUGCACUGGAAGCAAAUCAGAUCUGUUGCCGCAAUGGCGGUAGUAGUGGCUGUACAAUCUCUGCUCAUAUGCCUAGUUCGACCGCACUUGUAGCAGCUGGAACUCCCUGCCUUGCACGCCCUGUUGUGCAAUCUCCCACACUUGCCCACCGACCGUGGCUCUGCUGACUCCUGGAUCUGUGAUCUGAAACCUUGGGCUUUUUGCCCGAACUCCCUGGACCCGAAGCCGCCUCCGAUUUCCUUUUUCUCUCCAUCUCAAGGUCAAUCUCUCUCUCUCUCUCUCUCUCUCUCGCCCUAACAAUCAUGUCAUCCAUCGUUUUACAGCUGGACCGACUCACAAACUGGCGGAUAUCACUUCGCAACAUCUCAUGAUAACGAGCCUUCUUCAUUUCCUCAUCAGUUGCGUACUGAGGAACGAGAAGUGCCCUCUCCCUGAACUUGGCGGUAAUCUCCGCCACUGUCUCUGUCGUCUGGGUGAGGUCCUGAAACUCCCUGGCUAUCUGCUACACCUCAAUAACCGAUGCAAACUCAGCCCUGAACCUGGUAGUAAAGUCAGCCCAGGUCAUGGCAUCCAAAGUUGUGUCAUCCCCGAUGACAUGUCUGAUCUCCUCCCACCAAUCCCGUGCCCUGUCCUUCAGAAGACAGGACGCCAAUCUGACCUUUCCCCCCUCGGGACAUCUGCUCGUGCGGAAAGCGUUGGCCACAUCAGCCAACCAUCUAGUACUCGAUAUGGGGUCCCGUACCCCAUGAUAAUCUGGAGCUCCACAAGCCCAGAACUCUCUGAACGUAAGCGUGCGUGACCCCAUCAUGGCCGCCACCUCAGCAUGAAAUGUGCCUAGCUUCUCCUCCAUCAACUCUAGUAUACCCUCCUUGAUCGAACCGAAAAUCAUUGGUGUCUGCUCAAGAAUGAUACGGGUCACCUCUGAAGUGAAAAACUCCCUAGUCUGCUCAUCCAACUGCCCGGCCACCGAGCCUGGUCUUGAUCCCACCCCAGCACCUGAACUGCUGGUCUAGAGCGUAAAACCACCAUUCUGGAAACACAUAACGAUAAACGUCAGAAACACUGAUAUAUCUCGAGGGAUCACUACUACUACAGGCCUUCCGGUCUCAUCUCAACCUUCCUCGAUUUAAGUACGGAUCCUCUGCUUCCAGUAGUAUGGGCCCCUACUACCUUCCACAUCUAUCCGUACUCUCCUCAAGGACCGCCUCGACUCCACCAAGCCACUACUACUCCUGAUGAUCUCUACUACUCUCAUCCUAGGCUUUCCCUAGAGAAACCUUUGACUCGACCCAAACCAGUCCUCAGCCGCUGAAGGCCUCCUUGUAAUGCCAAUUAGUCGCCACCUGAAUACCGUCACAUAUGAUGAGGCUUGGAUAAUCCUUCAAGUAAAAGACUCGUCCCUACAAUGGUUAGACUCAAACGAGAGUUGCGCAGUAGGUCCAAAUCCAGCACUCUGAGAUUAUUCAACCCUGGUCACAUGUGAUGUGAUGUAUUCACCUAACGGCUAACUCCCAUUACUCGGAGUACCACAAAGCACAUAGCAAGUAGCAUUUGGACACAGGAAACUACUCAAGCAAUUUUAUCCUCAUAACGAGAAACUGUACUGGCAUAUAAUGCUAAGCUCAUACUAUCAGGCAUAACCUAAACAGGCUAUCCUACUGCUGUCUAAUCAAUACUAGCAUGCAAUUCUCAUAAAGCUGAAACACAUAUAGCAGGUACAUAAGGCAUCCUCCUAGAUCCUUAGUCCUAUUCUAGCAUGUUGUUCUACUGUAACUGAAAUUGAUAAUCAUAACAUAAACUUGUAUGGGUAAUUUGGGAGUACUUACUUGAGCUCGGCUGGUCGCAUGCACAACACCCUUUUUGAUGGGUUUGAUCCAUAAGAACUUUCCUAUGUGCACAUGCAAACCCUAAUUGCUUGGAUCUAGGUUUCUCUAAUUGAGCAUGCAUUCUAUCCAAUACUUUCAAUACUAGAUCUAAGGUAAACAAUUGAUUCUAAUCAUAUGAAUUAAGUUCUAGAAUAAUACCUUGGAUUACUUGCUUGAUACUUCUUCUUCUUGGAGCUUAGAGUCACAAUUGUCACUCCUUUAAUGGCUUACAAACACCAACUAGCAAGAAGAUGAUUUGAGAGAGAGGGAGGAGGGUGAGAAAUUGGCCCUAGGGUUCCUUGCCUUGCAUGAGUGCCGAUUUCCCUCACCCUAGGGAUCUAUUUAUACUAUGGGAUACUAGGGUUUCACCUUUAACCCUAAUUGAAUAACUUAGGCCCUAAGCAAUCCAAGAUCCUUCUAGAUUUUAGGCUUGGACGAAUUUAAGGUUCCCAAACCCAAAAUUUCGUCCACCCCAUUAUCUAUAAGGAUACAUAGCCCAAAACACAACUAUCACACAUUUGACAGUUUAUGCCCCUUUAUUCAAUUAACCUCUUUAAGUCACCAAAUUAAUUCUAAAUUAAUAUAUGACUUAUAUUAAUCAAAUAAAAUUAUUAUUCCUUUAAUAUAUUAUUCUCAUAAUAUAUUAACAAUAAUAUUUCUUCUCUCUUAACAAAUCAUCCUGUCAAGUUGCUAUGGUGAAAGCAACCCAAAAGGACCAUGCACAACCGGGUCAAGUACUUACCAAAUAUAGUUACAGCCUUAGACACUAAUCCAACACUUUUCUCUUUUCAAAGUUCUUUUCUUUCUAAAAAUUCUUUUCACUUUUUCUAAAACUCUUUUCUUUUCUCAAAACUCCCUUUUUACAAAAACUGAUUUUUCUUUUUUUAAAAAUUCCUAUACCAAUUCCUUAGUUUGAGUUCAGACACACUCGAAAGUGUGCCCGAAUCCCUCAAACCAAGGCUCUGAUACCAACUUGUAACGACCCAAAAUACGACCCAAAAUUUUUUGUUUAAUCAUUACUAAAAUCAUUAGAUCAAUACCAUAAAAUAAAACCCAUGAGUCAAUGUAUCCAAAACCAUAACAAAGUAUCACAAGAAAACUGUAUCAAAUCAUAUCAAUGAAAAACUAAUCAACUCCCAGGACAAGAACUGUAGCUGUGGUGUGUGCGAUGCCAUCAUCCCGAGCUCUUCCCUUUACUUGCGGAAGUACCUGAAACCAAAACUGAAAACUGCAAGCAUGAAGCUUAGUGAGCUCCCCCAAACUACCACAUACCAUACAAUAACAUGUAACACAUACUGGGCCUUGCCCACUGUAUUGGACCGAAGUCCGGAAACUGAACCGGACCGAAGUACGGAACUAACCAGGGCCCUGCCCACUGCAUCAGACCGAAGCCCGGAAACUACAUCGGAUCGAAGUCCGGAACUAACAGGGCCUUGCCCUCUGCAUCGGACCGAAGUCCGGAAACUGCGUCAGACCGAAGUCCGGAACUAACUGCAUCGGACCGAAGUCCAGAACUGACUGAACAUAACAUUGCAUAAACAUAUCAACUAGCAUGAACACAUAUACGGCAUACUACAUCGGACCAGGGUCCGGAACACAUAACACAAAACAUGCUUGAAUCACAAAGACAUCAAGCAAUCUAACUACUGUAUCGAACCGAGGUACGGAACUACUGCUAACUAAACGGGCCGACAUUGUGGUCGUAGACCCGUUCCUUCUGGAAGGAAGACCCACCUCAUAGUCUAGCUGCUGAAUGAACUGCUCUGGAAUCUGUCUGUUGCGGCUCCGGUUUCAUCCCGACUACAAUUUCCAUAAGUACACUCAAUCAAUUACUGAUAACCAUACUGAGGGUAAAAUGACUAUUUUACCCCUAGUCAAAGUCAACCCUCUGGUCUAAGUCAACAUACAGUUGACCUGACUCGUCGAGUUGGGCCGCCAACUCGUCGAGUCCCUAUUCUCAUCUCUCAAUCUUGCCCGCUACUACUCGUCGAGUUGGGCAUAAACUCGACGAGUUCCUUUUCAAUACUAACAUUCAGUCAAUCUGCAUCUGACUCGCCGAGUUCUAUGAACAAAUCGUCGAGUUCUCCUUCAUCAUAUGAACACUCUGGCUGUGACUCGCCGAGUUGUAUGAACAACUCGCCGAGUCUGUUCUUGAGAUAUGAAGAUUGUCUUAGACUCGCCGAGUCAGGGCAUUGACUCGCCGAGGCUCUCCNCAUUGACUCGCCGAGUCUCUCCAUGAAUGAUUCUGAUCUCCGACUCACUGAGUCCAUCUACAACCCACUGGUUCCACUCAGCAUAACUCACAAAGAGAAACAUCAGGGACUCGCGACUCGACUCGCCGAGUCCGAAGAACGACUUGCCGAGUCGGUUGCAUGCAACUUCUAUACAGUCGAUUCUGCUCGAAUCCAGUGCAUCCAACUUAUAGAUCUAGGUUCCUAAGGCUUGAUUAACACGUAAAGUUUCCAACUUUACGUGUACAUAGGCAUCCAUAAAGGUUUAAAGGCUCAAAAUGCACUAAAAGGGGUAGAUCUAGGGUCCUCAUGCAAAAUGGUUCCAUAAAGGCAAUAUAUAUGAGCUUCUAGAUCUCCAAUCUUGGUAGAUCCGAAGGCUAUUCGACACCACAUGCUAUCCAUAACACUAUUAAGCCAAAAUGGCAAAAACAAGCUACUUAUGAGAUCUACUUGAAGAAGGAUAAGGGUUUGGGGCUAAUACCUCAAUGAAGACUGUGAUACCACCAAGAACUCAGAUCUACUUGCUUCUCCCUUGAUUCCUCCUCUUCUCUUCUCUUCUUCUAAUUCACCAAUGAAUCACAACUUCACAAAGUGAGGAAAAUCACACCAAAAUGAUAAGGGAGGCUAGGGUUUUCGUGUGAGGCUUUUCUGUGGGUGAGGGGGCUAAUGGAUGCCCAAAAGUUGUUUAAAUAGGGUACAAACCCGCGGAUUUAGGGUUUCUUCCAGACUGGCGGACUCGCCGAGUCCCGAAUAUGGACUCGUCGAGUUGCCUAACUACACGUGCUCGGGAACCCAUCUCUACUCGACGAGUCGGGCUACUGACUCGCUAAGUUCCUCUUAAAAAAAUAUUUGACUAAAACAAAAUUAAAUAGCAUACCAGAAUUGGGGCAUUACAUAAACUCAUGAAACAUUUUCUACAUGUUACCUUAUUAUAAUCCCCCAUCUUCUUGAUUAUGGUUGAUGAUUAAAAAAGUGCAUUGAAAUUAUGUCGUUGUUUACCGAUAGGAAAAUGACUUAUAAUGAUAAGUUUACUAAAAUUUAGAAAAUCAGUAAAAUCAACAUCAGGUGAUGGGAAACCUACUUUUAUGUAAUGAUAUGUAUUUUUUGAAAUGAUAUUUUUUUCAAUAAAUUAUAUAACGACAAAACUACAAAUUUGGUCCAUGUGGUAUUCAAAAAACUUUGGAUAGGGUCCAAAAAGUUUUCAAAUUGCAUGGAAUGUCCAAAAUCAAGGUUUUUCUGGGUAUUUGGUCCAAAAAAACUUAAAAUGACAAAUAUGCCAUUUUGAUUUCUUUUUUCCUUUUUCUAUAAGUAUUUUAAUGCUAUACUGAUUUAAAAAAAAAAAAAAAGAAUUUUCCACCCCCACCCCAACCGUACACACUCUCUCUCUCUAUCACCCUAUCUCUCUCUCUUUGACUCUUUCUAUCUCAUUUCACUGGUUACUCCACCAAUUUCUGAUGAACGUACAUACACAUGACAAUCUCUAUCACAAAAGAAAACCCACAAAAUCCAAUCUACAAUUGAUUUAUGUAUGUGUGUAUGUGUAGGUUUCAUUCUGGAAAAUUUUCCCCCCAUAAGAUCCAAAUCAAAAAGCUUUUUAUGCCUCUUUCUGAAACUGAAAUCGAAGUCAACACCCGCCUCCCAUCCCUCAUAUCUACUUCUCAUCUUACUCUGAACCAAAGGAGACUGAAUCGAUGUCGUCAUUGAAUCAUUUCAAGUGGGAGUUUUCAAAGGAUUUUGUUGUUGUUGUUGCUGCAGGUUGGUUCUUGAGAAAUCGAGUUUUCUGAUGAUUCUGAUUUCUUGGAUAUGUUGAGAAGGGCUAGAGUUUCAAAUUUAGGGACGUUGGUUGUUGGUGAUUAGGACAUAGCACUGGGGAGACAAGCUGAUUUGUGGGUUCCAUUAAAUAGGGUCAAGAAUGGCGAGAUUACAGAAUAGUAUUUGGUACUCAGAACCAGAAAUGAUUUCAUAUGAAUUUUUAUGUUCAUUCCCAGAAAUCUAGAGAGAUAGAGAGGCUACGGUCGGUUUAGGUGGGGUCGAGUGGGCGAUGGAUGCCGACAAUGGGAGAGGUGGCUAGAGAUUGGCAAGGUUGCUGGAGGUGGGUGAUGAUGGAUAUGGUCUGGUUUGUUCAUCUAGAAAUUGCAGGUGAAAUGUCAGGAGGAAGAAUGAGAUAGAAGAGAGAGAGAGAGAGAGAGAGAGAGAGAGAGAGAGAGUAAAAAAGGAAAGAGAAAGGGGAAGGGUACGAUGGAGAAGGAUAGGGGUGUAGUUUUACUUUUUAUUUUUUAAUAAUUAUUUAAAUUCUGAAAUAAAUAAAAAAUGUAAAAAAGAAAUAAUAAGGGUAAAAUGGUAUUUUCAUAUUUAUUUGGACCAAAACCAUAGAAAAGUUUUGAUUUUGGACCUUUCAUGCAAGUCAGAAACUUUUUGGACCCUAUCCAAAGUUUAUUGCAAACCACAAGGACUAAAUUUGCAGUUUUGUCUUAUAUAACAUUAAUGGUAAAAUGUGUACAAAAAAAUUUUAAUGGUAAAAUGUGUACAAAAAGCAGUUUAAUGGUAUAAUGUGUACAAAAAAUAGUUUAAUGGUAUAAUGUGUAUAUAAUAAACAGUAAAAUCCACGUCAGCAGCCACAUGGCAUGCCACGUGGCAUGCUACGUGGCUAAUGACCUAUUAUUAUCGGUAAUAUAAUGGUAUUUUUUGAACAAAUGUGAAGUUUAAUAGUCAUAUGUGUACAAAAGCUAUAGUUGAUUGGUGAUAUGUGUACAAAAAAAAGUUCAAUGGUAUUUUUUGUACAAGUCUAAUACUUUGUUACCCAUACAAGUCAUUUUCCCUAUCUUAAAAUAGACAAAACUGUAAGAUUGGUCAUAAAACUUUGGAUAGGGUCCAAAAAAUUCCCAACUUGUAUCGAAAGUCCAAAAUCAAAGUUUUUCUGGGUUUUUGGUCAUUGAGACACUUGAAAAGUCGAUUUUGCUCUUUUCGUUUCUUUUUUCUAUUUUCUUUAUUUACUUUGGUAUUUAAAUAAUUAAAAAUAAAAAAUAAAAAAUAAGUUCUCUCUCACACACACACACACACACACUCUCUCUCUCUCUCUCACGCACACACAAAAACACAGAUCGGUUUCUCUCUCAGUAAGCUGCAUUCCCCAACAAACUACUUGUCGGAACUACUCUCAAUACACCACUAUUAACCACAUUUCAAAAUGGGAAAGAACUCGAAAUUCUUCAAAUCACUCCUUGGAUUCCGGACCACUAAAGCCCCCGCCACCUAAUCUUCACGUUCAGAGCUUAAAAAGCCAAAGUGACGGUGGAGUUUUGCGAAUUUGCACAAAGAGAUUCCUCAGCGUGGACUCCGGGACACUUCCAAAAAAAUCCCUUUUUUUGGACCUCCGAUGUUAGAUCUGCGUGUUCUUGGGACUCCGAUUUUGCUCUGUAACUCAACUUUAGAUUUCAUCUUCUCCCAUAGAGUUGCCCCGACGAAUAGAAUUUGGUUCAAAACUCGAUUUCAGACGUUCAACCCUUUCAGAUCAAAAAUCGAUUAAAAAAAUGGGUUGGAGAUUUCAAGAAGAUGAUAGUGUUGUAUAUUUGGCCAUUGAUGUUCCUGAAUCGAGGUGGAGGUAAACAGAGACAAAGUUUUGUUGAGAAAUCGAUAUCUUGCCUUCAAUUUUCAUUUCGUUUUCAAGGUUUUGUUGAGAUAUAGGCUUUGUAGCGUUGCCUACCAUGGAGGUUAUCUUCGAAAUUGCAGAGCUAGGGUUUCCAGCGAUGGUGAAAUAGUAAUGGUUUUUAUGCGUCUUCUUUGUUUCCCAGUGCGAAAUAAAUGAACGUGAGGACGACAAGGCAAAGGUGUGGAUCGGAAGAGAGGAAGGUAUCGUACAACCAAUUACAAAGCAAAUCCGUGCCUGAGUCGGAUUCGAGAGAGGACGUGAGCGAAGAAGAUACAAUGGUGUUCUUGAAUGUAGAAAGAACAAAUAAAUGUGAGUGUUAUUGGUUGCUGACGAGAGAGAUAGAGAGGGAGAGGGGGGGUACGGUGGGUGGAGUUAGAGGGGUAGGGUGAUAUUUUUUUUAUUUUUUAUUAUUUUUUUAUUUUUUAAAUACUAAACACAAUAAAAAAUGGUAAAAAAGAAAUAAUAAGGGUAAAAUGGACAUUUCAAUAUUUUCAGGACCAAAACCAAAAAACCUUGAUUUUGGACCAUCAAUGCAAGUUGGAAACUUUUUGGAACCUAUCCAAAGUUUUUUAAAUACCACAGGUACCAAUUUUGCAGUUUUGUCCUUAAAAUAACUACUUUCUUUUGUAAAUAACUUUUUUAAUUAAUUUUUUAUUAAUAUUAUUUAACUUAUUUGAUUUAUUAUUAUUAUUAAAAAUAUUAUAAAUAGUAAUAAUAUAAAUAAUAUAAUAAAACAAAAUUUGUUUUUAUUAACCAUCACAUAUACAAAUAAUUUUGAGUAUUAUAAUAGUGAGGUGCAUUAUACUUAUUAUGAGGAACAUAAAUAUUAAGUUGAGCGCCCGAUCCAUAUAUACGCAAUAUACAAGGUUUUCUCUAUAGUUUUCUAAUAUAACUUUUUUUCUUUUACUAAAUGAUUUUUUUUGUAAAUAAUUUGCAUCGAAAGUUGUGAUACAAUUAUGAAAAAUGUAGUAGGAUACUUAGACUAGAAGGAGUGGGAGGGAUGGUUCCCUCACUUUUGGUGGGCCUUCCUUCCUCACUCUCCUUUCCCUCACCUAAAAGCCAAGGAGUGGGAGGAAAACCCUUCCCUCACUUUUUUUUUUAUUUAUUUUUUAUAAUUUUAAAAUUAAUAUCAAACAUAAAAUUUAAUUAAAAAUAAAAAGCAUUUCAUUAAGUAAAAUAAAAAUUACAUUAACCCUAAAAUUUAAAUAAGUAGAAAAAAAAAACCCNAAGUAGAAAAAAAACCCCCAAAAAAAAAUCAAACAAACUACAACAUAGUAAAAAUUAUUAAUUAAUAUCCUAAUAUUAUUUAAACCUAGAUACGUCACUCGGAAUCAUCGUCUUCAUCCUCGCCUACAUCAUCUGCAUCAUUCUCCCCAGCGUCACUCUCGUCGUCGGAAUCUUCACUCUCGACGAACAUAUCAGAAUCCUCGUCUGAUUCGUCAAACAAAUCAUCAUCGUAAGAUAACUCUUGCGGGGGCUGAACAUGAGCCAUAUAAAUGUGCUCCACCAAAUCAGCACGAAGGGCCUGAUGAAGAUCGCGAUUGUGUACUUCUCUUCUGUUCACCCUAUACUCUUGUUACCAACGGCNACGGCUACUCCUUCGACAUUUGGCAAAACUUCAUUUUCAUUAUAUCGGCAUAUCGCUCUUCCUUCGUCUUCAAGAAUCAUAUUAUGCAAUAUGAUACAUGCAUACAUUACGUGUCGUAACCUUUUCACCUCAUAUAACCUUGCCCCAUCCGUUAGUACUUGCCAACGUCUCUUAAGUACACCAAAUGCUCACUCCACAUCCUUUCUAGCUGACUCUUGCGCCUCUUUAAACUUUUUCCUUUUCGGGUCGUUAGGACAUGUAAACGAUUUCACAAAAACAGACAAAGGAGGAUAUAUACCGUCAGUAAGAGAGUAUUCAUGCUUAUAUGCUACCCCAUUUGCUUGAAAAGGUACAUUGUGUGACUUUCCAAGGUAGAUAUCGUUGAAUACAGGCGACUGGUCUAGCACGUUAAUGUCAUUGUUUGCACCAGCUGGACCAAAGAAUGCAUGUCAUAUCCAAAGAUCAUGUGAUGCGAUAGCCUCUAGAAUAAUCGUCGGCUCUUUGUGGUCGCCUCUCAUGUACUGACCACGCCAUGCGUUGGGGCAUAAUGCCCAACUCCAAUGCAUGCAAUCGAUACUACCUAGCAUUCCAGAGAAUCCAUGUUUGCCUUCAUGUACCGUAUACAAUUGGUGGAUAUCGUUGAUAGUUGGUUUGCGCAAAUAUCGUUGCCCGUAAACCAAACAGGUCGCUUUGCAGAACUUGUACACAUAGUCCCUCACGGUACGCUCUGACAUUCUAAAAUACUCGUCCCAUUUGUCUGCGCCCAUGCCGUAUGCUAGCUGACGAAUUGAAGCCGUGCAUUUUUGAAUGGGAGAGAAACCUUUUUUCCCCUUGCAUCCAUUUUCCAUUGGAAAUAUGGAAAACGGCAUUCCAAAUCGCCAACAAUACGUAAAAAUAGUUCAUUUCUCAUCCGGAACCGACGUCGAAAUUUUACAGCGUAGACGGCGUCAUCUGUAAAAUAAUCUUCUAUAAGACGAUCGUGUCCGGCUUCGUGAUUUCUACGUAACGGCGGCAUUCUUAGGUUAGGUCGUGGACGUGAUGUUUCACCAAGUCGGUUUUGAUAGUAUGCAACCGUUUUCGCCAUGACGGAACCGAUAAACUUAGUCUCCUCUACUGCCGUCGAAUCGGAUGAUGAAGAUGAUGACAUUUUGAGUAAUAUUUUUAAGAAAGAAAUAUAGAGAAAUAUAGAUUAUGGUUUAAAAAAUGAUAGAAUGUGUGAGUAUUUAUAGAUUAAGAAAAGGAAAGGAAAAAAGAAUAUAUAUAUAUAUAUAUAUAUAUAUAUAUAUAUAUAUAUAUAUACACACACACACACACACAUAGCACGUAAUUNNNNNNNNNNNNNNNNNNNNNNNNNNNNNNNNNNNNNNNNNNNNNNNNNNNNNNNNNNNNNNNNNNNNNNNNNNNNNNNNNNNNNNNNNNNNNNNNNNNNNNNNNNNNNNNNNNNNNNNNNNNNNNNNNNNNNNNNNNNNNNNNNNNNNNNNNNNNNNNNNNNNNNNNNNNNNNNNNNNNNNNNNNNNNNNNNNNNNNNNNNNNNNNNNNNNNNNNNNNNNNNNNNNNNNNNNNNNNNNNNNNNNNNNNNNNNNNNNNNNNNNNNNNNNNNNNNNNNNNNNNNNNNNNNNNNNNNNNNNNNNNNNNNNNNNNNNNNNNNNNNNNNNNNNUACAACAAAAUAUAUAUAUAUAUAUAUAUAUAUAUAUAUAUAUAUAUAUAUAUAUGAAAAAAAUUAAUAAUAAUAAUAAUAAUGAUAAUAAUAAACAAAAAACAAAAAAAAGGACCAAAAAAACAAUACUCUUUGUGAUGUGAUUGAUAUUGGGGGUUUGGAUGAUACAGUUAGUGUUGGGGGUACGUAUAGUAACACCUUAUUUACAUACAAGUAUAGCAUUACGACCACCAAGGUUGUUAUUGACUUGCAGUUCUAUCAAUGUUACAGCCACCAAGGCUACCAUCUUAAUUCGUUAACAACAUAUAAAGUAUAUCAUUACAGUCACCAAGGUUGUCAUUGAUUUGCCAUUCAUCUACGAUGAUAUUACGGCCACCAAGGCUACCACCAUACCCCAAAACAACAUACAAGUAUAGAAUUAGUUCAAUGAUGAUAUUAUGGCCACUAAGGCUAACAUCAUAAUCUGGUACAAACAUAUAAGUAUAACAUUAUGACCACUAAUGCUAACAUCAUAAUCGAUACUAACAUACAAGUAUAACAUUACGGCUACCAAGGCUGUCAUUGACUUUUAUUUCUCAAAGAUGGUAUUACGACCAACAAUGCUUCCACCAAUAUCAGGCAUGCAGACUCACAACACGAUAUCGUUCUUACCAACAUCCCAUCGGAGGCAUACAACCUCAUCAUACUGCCUUAUUGCUAACAAAACUAUAUCACUCUAGUCUAACACAUGUUUUCCACAAAACGGUACACCAACGUCCUACCUUACAACAGACAUACAAUUUCACAUAUAAUAGAAUAGGAAACCCCUUUCAUAUAGUUCAAUGAUCAUCAACUAAAUAAUCUGUAUAUAUAUUGCACAACAAUACUCCACUAUAUAACUUCUUUAUUUCGCAUAGCCAUUAACAACUUCGCCGACAUUCUACUACUCAUAACCACUACAACUAGAUUUAUCGUUUAAUCAAUAUAAUAUAACUUAUCUAUAAUUUAGUUGAACCAUCUCAUUGUUUCACAUAACAAUAACCCACUAUAAUAUUCAACCAUUUCGGUUCACCACAACUCUCAACCAUACAUAACCUUACAAGUUCCAAACCCAAACGUAAGAUUUCAUAAUAAUCAUAAUAUUGAAAUUAUCAUGCAAUACAAUAAUAAACACACAUAUGAAUAACAUAUAUCUAGAAGAAGGAUGCGAUUACUCACCUGGUCAAUCAGUGGGGCCUAAAUAUGAUUUUGGCAUCAAGCUUUGCUCUGAUUUCCAACUCAUCAUUUGUCCAGACCUAUUCAGACAAUAUAUCAAAUUCAUUAGAACUUACCUAAACUCACCAUUAUCAACCACAAUGAUCAGUUACCUGAUUCCCAACUAAACUCGAUCACCAUUCAUUAACAAACCAGUCAAGUUCCCAUAUAUAACCGCUAGAUGACUUAACCCCAUAAGCCGUUAGCCUAAUCGACAAUUAUGAUAAAUUAGGGUUUACAACCCUUAACCAAAUAGAUUAAGAUGUUCACUAUAAAUUCAUUAAUUAAAAAUUGGUCACUAAGUUGUAACAACACCAUACCACGACCUUUAUAACAUACUUGGGGUCUAACAACCCUUUAUAAUAUGCUACGUAAGUAUAAUUACGUAUCAACGAAUCAAGAGGAUAUUUUAGCUCGUAUGACAGUCGUACCCUCAUUAAUCGGUCUCACGGCCUCUGUCUCAACGCUAUAAUUGUUGUUCAACAAUUCUAAAUUUGUUCAGCCAAAGCACUGUUUCAACUAUUUAUACAAGACUGAUUACGUAAUCCGAGUUGCGACAUUAACAUAAUCAGGCCCCGACCAUGUGUAGCACCUCAAAAUCAGCCAUGUAGCUCAUUUCCUCACCACGUGUCUAUUCUCACACCGCAUGUCCCCUACUGUCACGACUCUUCAUCGCGUCGCGAUAUUAACAUACUCACGUCGUGACAUAGCAAUGUACUUUAAGUUAUAACAGUGUUGUGACACUCGUUUUGUUUUUAGUAAAUUAUAAUCUAAGAUAUAUUAAUAGUAUAAAAUAUAUAGGUGAAUGUGUUAGAAAUUAAGUAAUGUCGUAAUAAAAGAGUUUAAAUCAAAAGAGUAUUUUGGCCAUUUUGUGUAAUUCUUGAAUUUCUGGUAAAUUUUAUGAUUUUAUAAAAAAGAAAUGUUGUAGCAUAAACAUGUGCUAUAAGAUGAAUAAUUUAUGAGUGCAAAGGACUUAAUGCUACAUAAUGUUCAUCUUCACGGGGUGUAUCAUUGUGGUUAUCACUCAGAUAAAACAUAUACAAUAUUUCAUUGUUCACUUUGAAGGGAACAUUCUUAUGACAAGUAUUCUAUUGCUAACUAUUAACUUCUUACAAUUCAUAGGAUACAAAAGAUGUUUUAUCCUUUAGGAGAAAAGACGUGAAUGCCCUCGUCCUUUUGAGAGUAGCCUUUAAAAACUUAUACAGUCCUGGCCCAUGUAGCACACACAACAUUAUAAAACAAGUUCAUAGAGAUUAUGGAAAUAAAGAAUAUUUAUUUCCAUGCAAUAUUUGCUCAAGGAAAUUAUUAUUAUUAUUAUUUUAAUAUUUUCUAGUCCUAGGUGCACAGAAAGGAUGGCUGGCAACAUUGAGAAAUUGGGUGGAGCUCAAUACAUGUUUCUCGCUCACAAGUAUAAUGAUGAUGAGUUCAAGCAACAUUCGAUAAUUGUAAUAUUAUAUAAGCUAUUUAUUGACUUUUCUUCUUAAAAUUAGGGAUGCCACAUGAUUUGAGAUCACAAGAAGUGAUCUAAGCGAUUAGGUUGUAAAAGAAUUCUCCACUCCAAAGAAGUAUGAUAUUUCUGCUAUUUUGUCUUGUCAUUUGUUAGCUACCUAGUGGGCUUAUGUACCUGAUUUAUAUCAUCAUUAUAGUGUGAGCUAUAUAUUUCAGGGUGUUAACUUUUUAGUAGAUAAUUCUUGAUAUGUUUGUUUUCAUUAAAAAAAAGUGGUAAAUUUAUAAUUUUUGAUGCAUUUAAGGUAAAUGUAUCGACAAAAGAGGUGGACUAAAUAUCUACAGUCUGAAAAAAGAAAACUGUUAGAAAACUGUUUGUUUUUUUAACAUCUGCAAACUACUAAAAUAAACUAAAAUUUAAAUAAACUGAUUUUUUUAAACUACAAAGUGAUCUUUUAAUAUAUUUAUGACUUUGUUAUAAAUAAUUAACAAAUCUAAAUCAACGUUUAGUAUUAUUAUAUAAAAAGUGAAAAUAAAAAUGGUACAAAUCAACGUAUAUAUUUAAAAAAAAAACCAACAAUUUUGGUCGUAAAGUUAUGCCUAAACAUUGUAAUUAGGAAUCAAAGAAUUUGAUAUAUAAAUGAAUGAAAAUGAACUUCGAUUUUGUCAAUUAAAUCAAUUAAAAACAUGCACAAAUAUUUUUUCUAAAAAAUUGAUGAUGUUUUAUUAAAUAAUGUUUUAUAAAAUUUGGCACAAAAAAUAUAAAAAUAUAUUAUUAUUUUUUUCAUAUAUAUAUAUAUAUAUAUAUAUAUAUAUAUAUAUAUAACUGUAAAAAAAAAAAAUANUGACGACUAUUAUUGUAAUAAAUUUUUAUUUAUAAAUUUGUCAAAAAUAUCAUGUUUGUGUCGUCGAACUUUUUUUUUUAAGUAUUGUAACUUUUUUUUUUCAAAUUGUUUAUCACUAAUAAAGUUGGAAUAAAUAUAAAUUCAAAAAAGAUAAAAAUAAAGUAUAUGUGUUUUUUUAGGCUAGAAGAUGUCUGAAGAUGUUAAAAGACUUUGGUUCACAUCUGCGCCAAGAAAAGGGCGCACAAACAUUUUUAGGUCUGCAGUUUUCAAAUAAACAAACAGUCUACGAAAGAUAAUGUAUGUGCGUGGUCUGCGCCGCGCAGACUGAAAAGGCCAAAAAGAUCUGCGGACAAAAAACAAACACUACCUUAAUGAUACCACCUUAAUGAUGACAUUCAAUUUAUACACACACCAGGACACACAAAAGUAGGGGUGAGCAAAAACCGCACCGCAACUAAAAUUAACCGCAAAAACCGCAACCGCAAUANCCGCAAUAAAAACCGAUAGUGAGGUUUUCUGUUUUUCAAAAACCGCAAAUUUGCGGUGCGGUGCGGUUAUUAGUUUCCAAAAACCGCAAAAAAACCGCACCGCACCGCAUAUAUUAUAUACAAUUUUUUUUUAUCAAUUAUUAGUUUAUUAAAUAUUAAAAAUAAGACAAGUUUCAUGAAUGAGAGACAAAUAAAAUAGUAGAAAACAAAAAUGUUGGUUUUUUUUAUGUUUAACUUUGAAAAUAAUGAAAUUAGAUAAUUUUAAGAUACUUAUUGUUAAUUACUAAUGAUUUGACGUUUUUAAGAUAUUAGUUGUUUGUGGUUUAAGUUAAAUAGUUAAUUGUCUUAUACCUUAUGUUUUUUUUUAUUAUUACAAGUAAUAUGUUUGAACUUUUAAAACUAUUUGAGCUCUAAACUAGGAUUAAAAACCACACAAAUUAAUCGCAACAAAUCCAUGCGGUUAAUAACCGCAACACAGAAAAAACAAAACCGCACCGCAAAAAUAACCGCCUAACCGCACCGCAAAAAUAACCGCACUAUACGGUUUUGAAAAUGGAUUAACCGCAUUUGCGGUUAGUGGUGAGGUUUUGGCUAAUAACCGCACCGAACUGCACCGCGCUCAACCCUACACAAAAGUGAGUAGACAACCGAUUAUUUGAUUAUUACAACUUUGAUUAUUACAACCGAUUAUAAUUAUUUUGUAUUAAAUAGUCACUUUCAGAACGCACAUCCAAAUAAUAUGUUUUAUAAACAAUUGAUAAUUUAUAUGGACAAGAUCAGUCUGCUUGUUUUACAAGCCCUUAAAGGUUUGGCAAUGGAGGAAUCUAAGCUGACAGUUUAUGAGAUAUUUAACUUUUAUUCAGUUAUAACGCAUUUGAUCUCUAUAAUUUUGACAAAAUAAAAUUUAUCUAGUUAUAUUAAAAAAGUUAAUUAUUGAUUUUAUACACUAAGUUAUCAACAUUCUAUAAGGGAAUCUCAAACCCAACACUAAACUAAUAGCAUUUUUUGCACCACUUUGCUUGAACCAACACCAUUUUUUGCAUCAUUUUGGGGUACAUGAUUAUUAAUAUACUAUUAAAUUUGAUGUUAUACCAUUUUUUGCAUCAUUUUUGUGUACAAGAUUAUUAAUAUAAAAUUAAAUUUGGUGUUACAUCAACUUUCAUAUGUCAAUAUUGGUGUAGUACAAAUUAUUGGUGUUAUGUGUUGCAAAUGUCUAAAGAAAGAAAGCUUAUAACCUAAAAUAAAAAGGUUAAUUACAUAAAGACCCUAUAUAUUUAUUGGGUUUUUUUUUACAGAUUAAACUUUAUUUUUUCCUGAAAAAUCCUUUACAUUGUUUCAUUUUUUCGGUAUGAUCUUUUACUUUUUAGUAUGUUUAUUGGUAAUCUUCUGGUUUUAUACAAAGAUGUAAAGGUUAUUUUUUAGAAAAAAAAAAUAAGUUAAUGUUUAAUCCAAAAAACAUUGGUAAUCUUCUGGUUUUAUACAAAGAUGUAAAGGUUAUUUUUUAGAAAAAAAAAAAAUAAAGUUAAUGUUUAAUCCAAAAAAAUGAAAAGAUGUAAGGGCUAAAUCAAAAAAAUGGAAAAACAUAAGGACCAAGUUAGAAGGCUUUUUCGAAAAAAAAAAAAAAAAAAAAAAAAAAACGAAGUUGAAUUUUUAGAAGGCUUUUUAUUGAAAGUCCUGGAUUUUGUUCCUUCUUUCAAAUUUAAAGUUUUUCGUCCCUUAAAAAAUAUUUUCCUUUUCGUCCCUUGAAUUAAAACUGUCAGUUUUUUUCCUACCUAAUAUAAAAAUGAACAUUAAUAACUAAUUUCAUACUUCAUAAAGAUACAACAUUGUUUGGAGAAGUAAUCAUUAAAAUAUAAAACUUGUAUGCCAUAUUUUAUUUCCAAUUUUCAGUGGUUAUAGUGUUAUACAGUUUGGAUAGUGUUGCUAUGUUGCUUGAGGUAGAAUUCGAGUGGAUAUUACCAAGUACAUACUUUUGUCCCACCCAAAAAGAUGGGAUAAAGACUUGUUUUUGUCAAAAGGUGUUAAUGCCCUCAUCUUCACUUUCAAAAAUAAACUUAGAAUCAUGUAUCGUGUAAGUUGUAACAAACAUCAAAAAUAACAACAAAAAGUUAUGUUUGUUACAUAGGACAUGAUUAAAUAAAUGAGUGUAUCAGUAAAAGAUUGCUUUAAUGUUGUGGAUAGGGCAUGGAAGGAGAAAAUAUCAAAGGGAACUUGAAUACAACAUGUUGUAGUGUGUUGAACACCCCAACUUUAUUAUAAUUAACUUUUUUUUAAGUAGUAGUUACAAAAAGGAUUAAAAAGUCAAUGUCCGUAUGUACAUAAAUGUUAAACAAAAAAUUAACACAAACUAUUUUUUAGUAUAUGAUUAUUGAAAUUCAAAUUGCAAACCCCAUCGACAAAAUUACAUACCAAACCAACGGAGACACGAAAUUGAAUUAUUCGAGUUCAAAUGCCAAUUUCUUUGAUUGAAUUUCUUCGAUUUAAAAUUGUUUGACAAAAUUCCGGCGUAAUAGAAGCAAAUAAAAUCAUCAGUGAUUUAGUGAUCAGAAAUAAUACAAUAAAAUCAAAUAAGAUAAUUAAAAAAAGAUCAAAAAACAGUCUUGACAUAAAACAGUUAAAGUCGAGGAAAAAAGCGAUAAAAAAAAAAAAAAAAAAAAAANGGGAAAAAAAAAGAAAAAAAAAAAAAAAAAAAAAAAAAACGAAUUAAAAAAUGCAACAAAAAAAACGAAUUAAUAAAAUUAUACGCAGUGAAUCAACGACCUUUUUCACAAAGUUUGAAGUGUGUGUAUGUCUAAGAAGAAUAUACGAGGCUCAGAUCUGUUUUACCUUCGGAACAAGAAGAUUAAACCGCCAUGGCUGCAAAUACAGAGGUUGCAUUCUCACAAUCGCCGUCCUCCGAUUAUAUGCCCUGCCAAGCUGCGGAUAAUCUCAAAUCAUGUCCCGAUUUUGAAUCAGAUCACGUUUAAUCAUCAUAGCCUCAUAUUUGUGGACAAUAAUUUUGGACGGAAGGAGUAUAAUAUGAAGAAAAGAUAGGAGGAUAUUUAAUUUCUCUAUAUCUAUAUAUAUAUAUAUCAGCAAAAGCUGUACCAGAGGGUUGUUGGAGCUUUAAAGAAUGACAAUGGAAAUCAUCGGCGUCGAGAGGCGGCAACCGCCCUUGGAAACCCUUCUUCCUCUCACAGCCUCAUUCUUUGAGCCGUAAAACAGAAAUCCCUAGCUUUCAUCCGGUUACUAUAUAGUCUAUAAAGUUAUAUUAAGGCCAUCGAUUUGGGUUACCAAUUGGAUCUUUGGAUCUACUUUAAUUUGUCAUUUAU
This 22432-nucleotide long non-coding RNA is filed under the name Lactuca sativa (garden lettuce). RNAcentral's name for it is "long non-coding RNA (LSAT_LNC007226)". Lineage: Eukaryota; Viridiplantae; Streptophyta; Magnoliopsida; Asterales; Asteraceae. The record is from RNAcentral.